Molecule: ribosomal RNA, 422 nt
Filed under: uncultured prokaryote
Description: bacterial SSU rRNA
Rfam family: Bacterial small subunit ribosomal RNA
Source: RNAcentral
UGAGGAAUAUUGGUCAAUGGGCGCAAGCCUGAACCAGCCACGUCGCGUGAAGGAAGACGGCCCUACGGGUUGUAAACUUCUUUUGCAAGGGAAUAAAGUGGGCCACGUGUGGCCUUUUGCAAGUACCUUGCGAAUAAGGAUCGGCUAACUCCGUGCCAGCAGCCGCGGUAAUACGGAGGAUCCGAGCGUUAUCCGGAUUUAUUGGGUUUAAAGGGUGCUCAGGCGGGACAUUAAGUCGGCGGUGAAAUUUUGCGGCUCAACCGUAAAAGUGCCUUCGAAACUGGUAUCCUUGAGUGUGGAUGAGGUAGGCGGAAUUUGUGGUGUAGCGGUGAAAUGCAUAGAUAUCACGAGGAACUCCGAUUGCGCAGGCAGCUUACUAAGCCAUAACUGACGCUCAAGCACGAAGGCGUGGGGAUCAAACA